CAGUCGCCGCGGUAACACGUAGGGUGCAAGCGUUAAUCGGAAUUACUGGGCGUAAAGCGUGCGCAGGCGGUUAUAUAAGACAGAUGUGAAAUCCCCGGGCUCAACCUGGGAACUGCAUUUGUGACUGUAUAGCUAGAGUACGGCAGAGGGGGAUGGAAUUCCGCGUGUAGCAGUGAAAUGCGUAGAUAUGCGGAGGAACACCGAUGGCGAAGGCAAUCCCCUGGGCCUGUACUGACGCUCAUGCACGAAAGCGUGGGGAGCAAACAGGAUUAGAUACCCCAGUAGUCCCUGUCUCUUAUAA
This 301-nucleotide ribosomal RNA is filed under the name uncultured bacterium. RNAcentral describes it as "partial 16S ribosomal RNA". It matches the Rfam family "Bacterial small subunit ribosomal RNA", at positions 509 to 809 of the family's 1533-position model. The record is from RNAcentral.